CACUCCCAACCCCUGUGACAUACCUUAAUGUUGCCUCGGCGGAUCAGCCCGCGCCCCGUAAAACGGGACGGCCCGCCAGAGGACCCAAACUCUAAUGUUUCUUAUUGUAACUUCUGAGUAAAACAAACAAAUAAAUCAAAACUUUCAACAACGGAUCUCUUGGUUCUGGCAUCGAUGAAGAACGCAGCAAAAUGCGAUAAGUAAUGUGAAUUGCAGAAUUCAGUGAAUCAUCGAAUCUUUGAACGCACAUUGCGCCCGCUGGUAUUCCGGCGGGCAUGCCUGUUCGAGCGUCAUUUCAACCCUCAAGCCCCCGGGUUUGGUGUUGGGGAUCGGCUCUGCCCUUCUGGGCGGUGCCGCCCCCGAAAUACAUUGGCGGUCUCGCUGCAGCCUCCAUUGCGUAGUAGCUAACACCUCGCAACUGGAACGCGGCGCGGCCAUGCCGUAAAACCCCAACUUCUGAAUGUUGACCUCGGAUCAGGUAGGAAUACCCGCUGAACUUAAGCA
This 504-nucleotide ribosomal RNA is filed under the name Fusarium tricinctum. RNAcentral's name for it is "eukaryotic LSU rRNA". The stretch from base 140 to 293 matches the Rfam family "5.8S ribosomal RNA". Lineage: Eukaryota; Fungi; Ascomycota; Sordariomycetes; Hypocreales; Nectriaceae. The record is from RNAcentral.